AUUGAACGCUGGCGGCAGGCUUAACACAUGCAAGUCGAGCGGGGUGAUGGUGCUUGCACUAUCACUUAGCGGCGGACGGGUGAGUAAUGCUUAGGAAUCUGCCUAUUAGUGGGGGACAACAUCUCGAAAGGGAUGCUAAUACCGCAUACGUCCUACGGGAGAAAGCAGGGGAUCACUUGUGACCUUGCGCUACUAGAUGAGCCUAAGUCGGAUUAGCUAGUUGGUGGGGUAAAGGCCUACCAAGGCGACGAUCUGUAGCGGGUCUGAGAGGAUGAUCCGCCACACUGGGACUGAGACACGGCCCAGACUCCUACGGGAGGCAGCAGUGGGGAAUAUUGGACAAUGGGGGGAACCCUGAUCCAGCCAUGCCGCGUGUGUGAAGAAGGCCUUAUGGUUGUAAAGCACUUUAAGCGAGGAGGAGUCUCUUUCGGUUAAUACCCAAGAUGAGUGGACGUUACUCGCAGAAUAAGCACCGGCUAACUCUGUGCCAGCCGCCGCGGUAA
This 503-nucleotide ribosomal RNA is filed under the name uncultured bacterium. RNAcentral's name for it is "partial 16S ribosomal RNA". It matches the Rfam family "Bacterial small subunit ribosomal RNA", at positions 30 to 523 of the family's 1533-position model. The record is from RNAcentral.